GGUAAUUCCAGCUCCAAUAGCGUAUAUUAAAGUUGUUGCAGUUAAAACGUUCGUAGUUGAAUUUGUGUUCCACACGGGCAGUACACCUAAAUCUUGGGUUUGUACAUUGCCUUAAAAUUAAAAAUGUGUGUGAACGUAUUACCGGCUGAAUUUAUAUUUUUAAUAUGAAUUCACAUAUUAUAUGUCCUACUUCAGUGCUCUUAAUCGAGUGCUGUUGUGGGCCGGUACAAUUACUUUGAACAAAUUAGAGUGCUUAAAGCAGGCUUUUAAUGCCUGAAUAUUUGUGCAUGGAAUAAUGGAAGAGGACAUCUGUUCUAUUUUCUAUUGGUUUUUAGAUCAAGAUGUAAUGAUUAAUAGAAGCAGUUGGGGGCAUUAGUAUUACGACGCGAGAGGUGAAAUUCUUGGACCGUCGUAAGACUGACUAAAGCGAAAGCAUUUGCCAAAUAUGUUUUCAUUAAUCAAGAACGAAAGUUAGAGGUUCGAAGGCGAUCAGAUACCGCCCUAGUUCUAACCAUAAACGAUGUCAGCUAGCAAUUGAAUGUAGCUACUACUAUGGCUCUUUCAGACGCUUCUCGGGAAACCAAAGCUUUUGGGCUCCGGGGGAAGUAUGGUUGCAAAGCUGAAACUUAAAGGAAUUGACGGAAGGGCACCACCAGGAGUGGAGCCUGCGGCUUAAUUUGACUCAACACGGGAAAACUUACCAGGUCCGAACAUAAAUAAGUAAGACAGAUUGAUAGCUCUUUCUCGAAUCUAUGGGUGGUGGUGCAUGGCCGUUCUUAGUUCGUGGAGUGAUUUGUCUGGUUAAUUCCGAUAACGAACGAGACUCAAAUAUAUUAAAUAGAUGCAUUCAGGAUUAUGGUGUUGAAGCUUAUAUGCUCGCCUGUUUUCGUUCCUCACGGUGCGUUUGCAGUUGUGUAUGUAUGUAAGUGGAGCCAUACCUGUUUGUUUGUCUAAUUAAAAAUAGACACUAGCUUCUUAAAUGGACAAAUUG
This 991-nucleotide ribosomal RNA is filed under the name uncultured eukaryote. RNAcentral describes it as "SSU rRNA". It matches the Rfam family "Eukaryotic small subunit ribosomal RNA", at positions 578 to 1426 of the family's 1831-position model. The record is from RNAcentral.